AUUAAUUUGAAAAAUUGUUAAAAAAUUCGCUCAGACAUAUUUACUUAAAUUCUUUUUUACUGGCAAAUAUGCGAAAAUCUAAUAUCAUUAUCUCACAUAAAAAAAAAUAUAUUACCCAUGUACACUACCUACUAUAAAAGCUUGCCACUUAUCUUCCCGCUACUGGAGAGUUAUGUCGAAGCCAACAGUAGCAAAACUGGAAGCUGCUCCUAACCAAUAAUAAAAAAUAAGGAUAAGACGUAAAGAAGAAAUUUCUUAAAGAUGUACACAAAGGAACUUUCUCGUGUGUUCCAUCAUGGUCUGGUAAGGGCAUCUUAAGAGGAGCAACGUCCUAACCCAUUUAUAUCUGCUUCGUGUAUUAAAAGGAUGAUAUGUGCUUUUCGCUCCCUCAUACAUCACAAUUAACUGAUGACAUUGGGUACACACAAAAAAUCAAUCCAUUAUG
Long non-coding RNA from Cephus cinctus (wheat stem sawfly), 445 nucleotides. RefSeq lists it as uncharacterized. Lineage: Eukaryota; Metazoa; Arthropoda; Insecta; Hymenoptera; Cephidae. The record is from RefSeq and is a predicted model, not a curated record. The transcript has 3 exons.